This 1739-nucleotide ribosomal RNA is filed under the name Acinetobacter baumannii. Its description in RNAcentral is "bacterial LSU rRNA". It matches the Rfam family "Bacterial large subunit ribosomal RNA", at positions 1225 to 2925 of the family's 2925-position model. Lineage: Bacteria; Pseudomonadati; Pseudomonadota; Gammaproteobacteria; Moraxellales; Moraxellaceae. The record is from RNAcentral.
GUGGUAGGGGAGCGUUCUGUAAGCCGAUGAAGGUGUGUUGAGAAGCAUGCUGGAGGUAUCAGAAGUGCGAAUGCUGACGUGAGUAACGACAAAACGGGUGAAAAACCCGUUCGCCGAAAGACCAAGGGUUCCAGUCCAACGUUAAUCGGGGCUGGGUGAGUCGACCCCUAAGGCGAGGCCGAAAGGCGUAGUCGAUGGGAAAAUGGUUAAUAUUCCAUUACUUCUGUGUAAUGCGAUGAGAGGACGGAGAAGGCUAAAUCAGCCUGGCGUUGGUUGUCCAGGUGAAAGGAUGUAGGCAUGUAUCUUAGGCAAAUCCGGGGUACUCUAUGCUGAGAUCUGAUAGCAAGCUGUACUUGUACAGCGAAGUGGUUGAUGCCAUGCUUCCAGGAAAAGUCUCUAAGCUUCAGUUACACAGGAAUCGUACCCGAAACCGACACAGGUGGUCAGGUCGAGUAGACCAAGGCGCUUGAGAGAACUCUGCUGAAGGAACUAGGCAAAAUGGUACCGUAACUUCGGGAGAAGGUACGCUGUUGUUGGUGAUGGAACUCGCUUCCUGAGCUGACGACAGCCGCAGAAACCAGGCCGCUGCAACUGUUUAUUAAAAACAUAGCACUCUGCAAACACGAAAGUGGACGUAUAGGGUGUGAUGCCUGCCCGGUGCUGGAAGGUUAAUUGAUGGGGUUAGCGUAAGCGAAGCUCUUGAUCGAAGCCCCAGUAAACGGCGGCCGUAACUAUAACGGUCCUAAGGUAGCGAAAUUCCUUGUCGGGUAAGUUCCGACCUGCACGAAUGGCAUAAUGAUGGCGGCGCUGUCUCCAGCAGAGGCUCAGUGAAAUCGAAAUCGCUGUGAAGAUGCAGUGUACCCGCGGCUAGACGGAAAGACCCCGUGAACCUUUACUGCAGCUUGACACUGAACUUUGACCUUACUUGUGUAGGAUAGGUGGGAGGCUUUGAAGCUGGAACGCUAGUUCCAGUGGAGCCGUCCUUGAAAUACCACCCUGGUAAUGUUGAGGUUCUAACUCUGUCCCGUGAUCCGGGACGAGGACCGUGUCUGGUGGGUAGUUUGACUGGGGCGGUCUCCUCCUAAAGAGUAACGGAGGAGUACGAAGGUGCGCUCAGCGUGGUCGGAAAUCACGCGUAGAGUAUAAAGGCAAAAGCGCGCUUAACUGCGAGACCCACAAGUCGAGCAGGUACGAAAGUAGGUCUUAGUGAUCCGGUGGUUCUGUAUGGAAGGGCCAUCGCUCAACGGAUAAAAGGUACUCUGGGGAUAACAGGCUGAUACCGCCCAAGAGUUCAUAUCGACGGCGGUGUUUGGCACCUCGAUGUCGGCUCAUCUCAUCCUGGGGCUGAAGCAGGUCCCAAGGGUAUGGCUGUUCGCCAUUUAAAGAGGUACGCGAGCUGGGUUUAGAACGUCGUGAGACAGUUCGGUCCCUAUCUACGUGGGCGCUGGAAAUUUGAGAGGAUCUGCUCCUAGUACGAGAGGACCAGAGUGGACGAACCUCUGGUGUACCGGUUGUGACGCCAGUCGCAUCGCCGGGUAGCUAUGUUCGGAAGGGAUAACCGCUGAAAGCAUCUAAGCGGGAAGCCUACCUCAAGAUAAGAUUUCCCUAGGACUUUAUGUCCUCUAAAGAGCCGUUCGAGACUAGGACGUUGAUAGGUUGGAUGUGGAAGCAUAGUGAUAUGUGAAGCUGACCAAUACUAAUUGCUCGUGAGGCUUGACUAUACAACACCCAAGCAGUUG